AUUGAACGCUGGCGGCAGGCCUAACACAUGCAAGUCGAGCGAGCGGCGGACGGGUGAGUAAUGUAUGGGGACUGCCCGAUAGAGGGGGAUAACUACUGGAAACGGGGGAUAAUACCGCAUACUAUCGGAUAACCCAUAUGGGAUUAGCUAGUAGGUUGGGUAAAGGUGUACCUAGGCGACGAUGGCUAGCUGGUUUGAGAGGAUGAUCAGCCAACCUGGGACUGUGAGACGGCGAAGACUCCUAGGGAGUCAGCGGUGGAGCAUAUUGCACAAUGGGCGCAAGCCUGAUGCAUCCAUGCCGCGUGUAUGAGUAAGGCCUUAGGGUUGUAAAGUACUUACAGCGGGGAGGCGUUACCCGCAGAAGAAGCACCGGCUAACUACGUGCCAGCAGCCGCGGUAAUAC
This 403-nucleotide ribosomal RNA is filed under the name uncultured bacterium. Its description in RNAcentral is "partial 16S ribosomal RNA". It matches the Rfam family "Bacterial small subunit ribosomal RNA", at positions 30 to 526 of the family's 1533-position model. The record is from RNAcentral.